This 68-nucleotide transfer RNA is filed under the name Marmota monax (woodchuck). Its description in RNAcentral is "tRNA.Thr". The stretch from base 5 to 65 matches the Rfam family "tRNA", at positions 6 to 65 of the family's 71-position model. Rfam says of the family: Transfer RNA (tRNA) molecules are approximately 80 nucleotides in length. Their secondary structure includes four short double-helical elements and three loops (D, anti-codon, and T loops). The record is from RNAcentral. Lineage: Eukaryota; Metazoa; Chordata; Mammalia; Rodentia; Sciuridae.
GGAUUGUGGCUCAGCGGUAGAGCACUAGCCUAGUAUGUUCGAGGCCCUGGGUUCAAUCCUCAGCACCA